This is an RNA transcript of Quercus robur (English oak), 3105 nucleotides long. It is a transcript of the gene named putative F-box protein At3g23970, with no coding region annotated. The transcript is spliced from 4 exons. Lineage: Eukaryota; Viridiplantae; Streptophyta; Magnoliopsida; Fagales; Fagaceae. The record is from RefSeq and is a predicted model, not a curated record.
UUCUAAUAAAACAUAGAACGUUAGUUUUGAAUUAAAAAAAAAACUCCCCGCAGUGGUUUAAGGAAAAUGGAAGGGGGCAUUUUGGUACGCCCGCGUUUCAUCCAAUUUCCGGUGAAGAUCCGCCCUCGUGAGAAGCUAUUAGGGUUUGAAAUCCCUCUGUUUAUUCUUAGUCUGGCAUUCUUCCACUCUUGAUCCUCCCCGCAGUGGGCGAAUUUUACUCGUCGAUUGAGCGAUAUAUAACCAAUUCUCUCUGGUCACUCAUCGAGGCGGUGAAGGUUUCCUCAUCAUCCACCAGCUCACAAUUGCUGUAUCACAUGAAUUAGCCCAUCUAUGGCUUGGCAAUCUAGUAACAAUGGAAUGGCGGAGUCAUUUAUGGCUUAAUGAGGGAUUUGCAACAUGGGUAAAAUUGAGUCAUCUCACAUUACUGCUUCCACUUGCUGGCUAUUGCAAUACAUUCAUUUUCUUGUUUGAAUCUGUAUUUGAUCUUAAAUUUCCAGGUAAGUUAUAUGGCCACUGACAGGCAACAGCAUGUUUCCUUAGUGGAAUAUAUGGACUCUAUUUCUUCUAAAAACAAAUGAUGGCCUGCGUAUGGAUGCAUUGGAACAAUUGCAUCCUAUUGAGGUCGAAGUACCCCGGGCUCGUUCAAUAGGGGAAUUAUUUGAUUCUAUCAGCUACAAAAGGGAUCUUCUGUCACUCGAAUGUUGCAGGGUUAUCUUGGUAUGGCACAUUUCAGGAGGGAUGGUUCAUGUUCUUGACUUAAAGUGGUUGGGUUAUUUUUACAUGGAGCACCAAAUAUUGAUUCUGUAUUUUCAUAGUAAAACCUUCUAUGCAAUAUUUUCAUAAUCAUUUCUUGGAAAAUAUAUACAGAACUAAUGCUUGGCAUUUGUUAGUUAAUGUCAUUUGUUUUAUAAAGCUUUAAUGGCUCUCUUAUCCAUUAAGCAGGUUUGGCACUUUAUAAUUGUCAAGGCUAUUAUGUGAUUUAUGUUUAUUUCUUAUCUUAUUAUAUGUUAACAAUGCCAUUAUAGUCUUCAAUUAUUCAAUGGACUAAAAGAAUAUAUAUUGAUACCACAUGGGCUCAAAAAUUUAGAGUGGAUUGGGGUUUGACUCAGUGUGUAGGAUGCUUUUGCCAUGUAACACCUUCUAGGUAUUUUCUUGGGCAGAGACUCUUGCUCCAGUGUCUGUUCUUCUUUUAGAAUCCAUAUAUGUGCCGUGUCACUUAUAUUUGUCAAAUUGGAAGCUUUCUUUGAUCACUUAUUCCACUAAUAAUCGUGGUCACUAAUGUGUACAAUGUAUAAUUUCUCAAUGCAGUAGACCUUAAUAUCACUUUUUCAUGGAAAAUAUUCUUGGUAACAAAAAUGCUACCAUGAACAUUUUUCUUUUUUCAACGUGUUCUGCACACAAAUUUAUGAAAGUGACUGAGGGGAAAGGUCUGAAUUAUAUUCCUGUAGUAAUUUGCACUUCUUGAACAUGAUCAAAAUUUCACUGUGUAACAAGUGGAUAGAAAAUUAACUUUAACUAAAUUACAUAUAUAACUCUGUGACUUCUUAUUUGAACCAGAAACCCUUGAGUUAGUGCAUAAAAAGAUAUGCUGGAAAGAAUACAAAGACAGAUGAUUUAUGGGGCGUUCUUUCAGAGAACUCUGGUGAACUCAAUUCAAUGAUGGAUGCUUGGUUAAAAAAAAAAAAAAAGGGAUUUCCAGUUAUCUCUGUAAAAUCCAAAGAUAAUAUUUUGGAAUUUGAACAGGUAUUAUUAUUAAGUAAUAAGCAAACAUGCAUUUCUUAAAGGUUUAGAGGUCAAGUUGUUUAUCUUUAUCAAGAUAGUAUUAUCGUGCUAUUCAUGAUAAGUUCAGAAGGCCGUGAGGUAGCAUGGAGAUGGUUGAAGGUAUGCAGCUCCUGCUCAACAUCUAAUUGGUAGCAUGUCUAAUUGUGUAUAUAGUCUGGAAAAUAUUAUGAUUGGGAAUUGAGAAGCAACUAUUUACUUUAAAUUUAUAAUUGUAUAUAUGGUUGGAAAAUAUAUGAAUACCUAUCUCUCCAAAUUAAUAUCUUCAUAUUUAUAAUGUUUUGCGGCCUUCUCGGCAUUAUGUUCAAAUUACUGUCAUAUAUGUACUAGGGUUAGUUAUAUAGUGAAGUAGGCUUCUUCAUAAACUUGAAUAUCUUUUUUUUUUUUCCGUUGUGCGGAAAAUCGAGUUGGGAAUCAAUAGCUUGAGAGACUCAUUUAAAUGCACUGUUGAGAAUGAUAGAAAUACUUAUCUCCGGUCCAUGGACACUAGAAAGGUAAAAGUUUUGCCUGUACUUUUAAAUCACUUCCUUAUCAGUAGGGGCAUUUUCGAGUUCUAUAUUCAACAGUGGUGUAUGCUCUGUAGGCUGCUUUCAUUGUUGUAAUGUUAAAUGCUAGUACGACAAAUAGGAAUGGAUUUGAGUCCUUACUGAAGCUCAAUAGAGAAGCAGAUAUUGUUAAGAUUUAGUAACAUUGGAAAUAGUAUCCUGUCACUUUUUGGGUGAAAGCUACUUAAAUUUAAUGUCAUUCUUUCAUCCUUGUAAAGGUUUUCUUGCAUCUUGUCCAAACCCAAAUAUAUUGCUCGUGGUUUUAAAUUUUAUGUUGUUUGAUGAGGUAUUGGUUGUGCCAAUUAAAUCACGGUUUUUAACGGCCUCAUCUUUCUUGCGGAUCUAAUUGUUAUUCAUAUAAAUAUCCUUUCAGGUUCAAGAUCAAUAUAUUAUUUACGUGCUUUUCUUGACAAGUUGAGAAGGCCAUGAGGUAGCAUGGAGAUGCUUGAAGUUCUGCAGUAAUGAAAAGGCCGAUGAGAUAGAAGCAUUUUUUUGCCAGCCGUAUGCAUCCUUCAUUUACCAUGAGUUUGAAGCAAAGUACCGAGCAAAUCCGACUCAAAUCGAGGUGGGUUGACAACAAAAGGCGAGAGCAAUCUCUAUACGACCUAGUCAAACAAUUAGCUCUCAAGAAAUGCUAGUCUUCACUUUGCUUCCAAAACUAUAUUGUGAAUGUAAUUAUGUUAAGAAUAAUAAACAACAUACAUUGCAUGCUCAGCAACUUGUGUUAUUUAUGUAAGGAGUUACAUAUGAAGAAAUCAAACCAUGAACAGGUUGCUACCUA